AAUACCGUGCUGGGUGUGUGUUCGGUUGUGGUGCAGAGUGAAGCCACAGGAGCUGAUGAUGUUGUAGGCCCUGAAGGCAUGGAGAAAUUUUGUGAAGACAUUGGUGUUGAACCAGAAAACAUGUGAUACAACAGAAAAACUCAGAAAUACUUUGGAUUACUUAAGAUCAUUCUUAAAUGAUUCUACAAACUUUAAACUUAUUUACAGAUAUGCGUUUGACUUUGCACGGGAAAAGGACCAGCGCAGCCUAGACAUAAACACUGCCAAGUGCAUGUUGGGACUGUUAUUAGGAAAAAUAUGGCCCCUUUUUCCAGUUUUUCACCAAUUCUUAGAGCAAUCAAAAUACAAAGUUAUUAAUAAAGACCAGUGGUGCAAUGUCCUAGAGUUUAGCAGAACAAUUAAUCUUGACCUCAGCAACUAUGAUGAAGAUGGAGCAUGGCCAGUUUUGUUGGACGAGUUUGUGGAGUGGUAUAAAGACAAACAGAUGUCCUAGGACUUUAUGCAUAGCAGCGAGAGAGUCACUGUUACCACAGUUUUGUCACCCAUUAGCC
This 551-nucleotide small RNA is filed under the name Pongo abelii (Sumatran orangutan). RNAcentral's name for it is "processed transcript". Lineage: Eukaryota; Metazoa; Chordata; Mammalia; Primates; Hominidae. The record is from RNAcentral.